ACAUGAAGAGUGAGAACAUUGUUAUCACCAUACCAUGUUAUCUUUUAUGUAUUCUCUUAUAUUAUACAUAUAUAUGGUAUUUUUAUAUUAAAAUUCAAUAAAUACUUAUAAAACUAGCACUUUAUUGGUUCAAACUCUAGUUGGAUUGACAAAUAUGCAAGUGUGUAACCACUAGACCACUUAGAUUAACAUAUUAACUCAUAUAUUUUGUAUAUGUAUAUUUGAUUCAUUUAUUAAAUGGGUACCCGAAACCGAAACGAAACCGACCAAAACCGAACCGAAACCGAACCGAAAUCUCAUAAGUACCUAUUGGGUAUAAGAAUGAUUUAUCUGAUAUACCCGGAACCGAAUGGUUCCUACCCGAAACCGAACCGAAUACCCGAAUGCCCAGAGCUACCUCCGAGAAAAGCCUAUGUAACAUCUCCCAUUUUUGGCUAUCAUCUCCAUUAAUCCAAGCUUUAAUGUCGUUCCACCACUCCUCCCACUCUCUCGCAUUUAAACUUCCUCAUCAUCCUCAGACGUAACCGUUCGGAGCUCCUUCUAUAAAUGGGUUCCUUGCAAGCGAUGAACAUCCUCACUACUAUGAAAUCCAAAAAGUCAAACUAUGUCAAGCAUCAACUUCUACCACGGCGAAUUUGGACACUCAUCUUGCCGAUUAGAAU
This 662-nucleotide long non-coding RNA is filed under the name Brassica napus (rape). RNAcentral describes it as "long non-coding RNA (BNAP_LNC021762)". The record is from RNAcentral. Lineage: Eukaryota; Viridiplantae; Streptophyta; Magnoliopsida; Brassicales; Brassicaceae.